This is a non-coding RNA of Microdochium trichocladiopsis, 117 nucleotides long. NCBI's taxonomy places the organism in Eukaryota, Fungi, Ascomycota, Sordariomycetes, Xylariales, Microdochiaceae. The record is from the annotation of a RefSeq genome assembly.
GGUGCUAUCGUCUAGUGGUUAGGACAUCACGUUGUGGUUGUACGCAUGUACCGCUUAACAUUCACUAUCACGGAGAAAAUUCCCGUGAAAACGCCGGUUCGAUUCCGGCUAGCGCCA